UUUAAGCCAUGCGAGUCAUUGUAGCAAUACAAGGCAGACGGCUCAGUAACGCGUAGUCAAUCUACCCUAUGGACGGGAAUAACCUCGGGAAACUAAGAAUAAUGCCCGAUAGAACAUUAUGCCUGGAAUGGUUUAUGUUUCAAAUGAUUUAUCGCCAUAGGAUGGGACUGCGGCCUAUCAGUUUGUUGGUGAGGUAAUGGCCCACCAAGACUAUUACAGGUACGGGCUCUGAGAGGAGUAGCCCGGAGAUGGGUACUGAGACACGGACCCAGGCCCUAUGGGGCGCAGCAGGCGAGAAAACUUUGCAAUGUGCGAAAGCACGACAAGGUUAAUCCGAGUGGUUUCUGCUAAAGAAACCUUUUGUCAGUCCUAAAAACACUGACGAAUAAGGGGUGGGCAAGUUCUGGUGUCAGCCGCCGCGGUAAAACCAGCACCUCAAGUGGUCAGGAUGAUUAUUGGGCCUAAAGCAUCCGUAGCUCGUUUUGUAAGUUUUCGGUUAAAUCCAUGCGCUUAACGUAUGGGCUGCCGGGAAUACUGCAUAACUAGGAAGUGGGAGAGGUAGACGGUACUCGGUAGGAAGGGGUAAAAUCCUUUGAUCUAUUGAUGACCACCUGUGGCGAAGGCGGUCUACCAGAACACGUUCGACGGUGAGGGAUGAAAGCUGGGGGAGCAAACCGGAUUAGAUACCCGGGUAGUCCCAGCUGUAAACUAUGCAAACUCAGUGAUGCAUUGGCUUGUGGCCAAUGCAGUGCUGCAGGGAAGCCGUUAAGUUUGCCGCCUGGGAAGUACGUACGCAAGUAUGAAACUUAAAGGAAUUGGCGGGGGAGCACCACAAGGGGUGAAGCCUGCGGUUCAAUUGGAGUCAACGCCAGAAAUCUUACCCGGAGAGACAGCAGAAUGAAGGUCAAGCUGAAGACUUUACCAGACAAGCUGAGAGGUGGUGCAUGGCC
This 950-nucleotide ribosomal RNA is filed under the name uncultured archaeon. Its description in RNAcentral is "bacterial SSU rRNA". It matches the Rfam family "Archaeal small subunit ribosomal RNA", at positions 43 to 999 of the family's 1478-position model. The record is from RNAcentral.